Molecule: ribosomal RNA, 253 nt
Filed under: uncultured bacterium
Lineage: Bacteria
Description: partial 16S ribosomal RNA
Rfam family: Bacterial small subunit ribosomal RNA
Source: RNAcentral
UACGUAGGGUGCAAGCGUUGUCCGGAAUUAUUGGGCGUAAAGAGCUCGUAGGCGGUUUGUUGCGUCGGCUGUGAAAUCCCGAGGCUCAACCUCGGGUCUGCAGUCGAUACGAGCAAACUAGAGUGUUGCAGGGGAGACUGGAAUUCCUGGUGUAGCGGUGAAAUGCGUAGAGAUCGGGAGGAACACCAGUGGCGAAGGCGGCCUUCUGGGCAUUUCCUGACGCUGAGGCGCGAAAGCGUGGGGAGCGAACCGG